Molecule: long non-coding RNA, 735 nt
Organism: Vidua macroura (Pin-tailed whydah)
Lineage: Eukaryota; Metazoa; Chordata; Aves; Passeriformes; Viduidae
Exons: 4
Source: RefSeq, a predicted model, not a curated record
AAUAUGCUGUUUGGACAGUUGUCCUUGUUAUUUGUUUUUUUCAAAGGAGGUUUUGAGCUAUCAACCCACACAAUUUUUUUGGCGUCUUCAUGGAACAUUGUGUACUGAAAUUUUGUCUACAGUGAAUCUAUUCUUUUGGUGGGAAGGUUCUCCAUCUGUCAAGCCUUUCCUUCCAAGUCAGGAUGGUGGAUGCUAGGAUCUCUAAAUUGCAUCUGUACAAUUCAUGCAAGAUUGUGACCACUGUGCCCACACAAAUUUUCUCUACCAACACUGGAGCACCACUUGUGCACAAAGAACAGUCAUGUCCUAAAGGCAAUGGCCUUGUGUUGAGCACAAACAGAAAGAGUCUGGACUACACUUGGAUCAAAAAAUCAAACCAAGGAAAGAAGGAGAAGAAGACUGUUGAAUCCCUGAAGCACUGACAUUUACAGGUUACAAGUAGGUGGGAAAGGUCUCAUAUGGGUGUCACUUAAACUGAAACCAAUUAAGAAACAUCUGUAGACAAUAGAACAGUGUCAAGUGUGAACAAUGAAAUUUCUUCUAAGAGAAGAGACAGAGAGUAGAGCACACUCUCAGCAAGACUGAAAAAGCUCUGUCCAAACAAAAGCCAUGUUUAUGUCCUCACUGGAGCUCCAGUGUGUUGCAACCUGUCUCUCAAGAGCACUGUAGACCAAGACAUAGUUGACCCAGACAUUACAAUCAGCAAUACUAAUUAAAUUUCAAACACCAUCAUCA